Molecule: ribosomal RNA, 448 nt
Filed under: uncultured bacterium
Lineage: Bacteria
Description: bacterial SSU rRNA
Rfam family: Bacterial small subunit ribosomal RNA
Source: RNAcentral
UGGGGAAUAUUGGACAAUGGGACGAAAGCCUGAUCCAGCGAUGCCGCGUGAGUGAAGAAGGCCUUAGGGUUGUAAAACUCUUUCACUGGUGACGAUGAUGACGGUAGCCAGAGAAGAAGCCCCGGCUAACUCCGUGCCAGCAGCCGCGGUAAUACGAAGGGGGCUAGCGUUGUUCGGAAUUACUGGGCGUAAAGCGCACGUAGGCGGAUUUGUAAGUCAGGGGUGAAAUCCCGGGGCUCAACCUCGGAACUGCCUUUGAUACUGCAAGUCUCGAGUCCGAUAGAGGUGAGUGGAAUUCCUAGUGUAGAGGUGAAAUUCGUAGAUAUCGGGAGGAACAUCAGUGGCGCAGGCGGCCUUCUGGACGGUGACUGACGCUGAGACGCGAAAGCGUGGGGAGCAAACAGGAUUAGAUACCCAAGUAGUCCCUGAGCGGGCUGGCAAGGCGCAU